CAUUAAUGAAUUACAAGUCGGCCCUCUGUGCUGGUGGCAACACAUGUGCACGUUGGUCGCAAAUCCACACACCUGUGCACCUUUGACUUUGGGAUCCGCCGGUCUUUUGACUCGCAGCAGGUCGGCUCUGUGCCGUCCUGGAUCUCAGAGUAAUUUUACACACUCUUGAAUGUAAUGGAAUGUCUCUGUGCAUAACGCGCAAAUAUACAACUUUCAACAACGGAUCUCUUGGCUCUCGCAUCGAUGAAGAACGCAGCGAAAUGCGAUAAGUAAUGUGAAUUGCAGAAUUCAGUGAAUCAUCGAAUCUUUGAACGCACCUUGCACCCUUUGGUAUUCCGAGGGGUACACCCGUUUGAGUGUCAUUGUAAUCUCACUCCGACGACCUUUUUGUUGUCUGGAGGUGGACUUGGACCUUGCCGUGUCACAACGGCUGGUCUGAAAUGCAUGAGUGCACCCUGCUGUAGCAGCGUCUUCAGUGUGAUAAGUAUCUUCACUGAUUCAAGUUCCCCUCGUGGGACACGCCGCCUGGUGGGCUCUGCGCUUCUAACCGUCCGCAUGGACAACUCUUGACAAUUUGACCUCAAAUCGGGUGGGAUUACCC
Molecule: ribosomal RNA, 601 nt
Filed under: uncultured Basidiomycota
Lineage: Eukaryota; Fungi; Basidiomycota
Description: eukaryotic LSU rRNA
Rfam family: 5.8S ribosomal RNA (bases 209-362)
Source: RNAcentral